RNAcentral lists this ribosomal RNA (497 nucleotides) under uncultured bacterium. RNAcentral's name for it is "partial 16S ribosomal RNA". It matches the Rfam family "Bacterial small subunit ribosomal RNA", at positions 28 to 507 of the family's 1533-position model. The record is from RNAcentral.
GACGAACGCUGGCGGCGUGCCUAAUACAUGCAAGUAGAACGCUGAAGAGAGGAGCUUGCUCUUCUUGGAUGAGUUGCGAACGGGUGAGUAACGCGUAGGUAACCUGCCUUGUAGCGGGGGAUAACUAUUGGAAACGAUAGCUAAUACCGCAUAACAAUGGAUGACACAUGUCAUUUAUUUGAAAGGGGCAAUUGCUCCACUACAAGAUGGACCUGCGUUGUAUUAGCUAGUAGGUGAGGUAAUGGCUCACCUAGGCGACGAUACAUAGCCGACCUGAGAGGGUGAGCGGCCACACUGGGACUGAGACACGGCCCAGACUCCUACGGGAGGCAGCAGUAGGGAAUCUUCGGCAAUGGGGGCAACCCUGACCGAGCAACGCCGCGUGAGUGGAGAAGGUUUUCGGAUCGUAAAGCUCUGUUGUAAGUCAAGAACGGGUGUGAGAGUGGAAAGUUCACACUGUGACGGUAGCUUACCAGAAAGGGACGGCUAACUACGUG